UACGAAGGGGGCUAGCGUUGCUCGGAAUUACUGGGCGUAAAGGGAGCGUAGGCGGAUAGUUUAGUCAGAGGCUGAAAGCCCAGGGCUCAACCUUGGAAUUGCCUUUGAUACUGGCUAUCUUGAGUACGGAAGAGGUAUGUGGAACUCCGAGUGUAGAGGUGAAAUUCGUAGAUAUUCGGAAGAACACCAGUGGCGAAGGCGACAUACUGGUC
RNAcentral lists this ribosomal RNA (212 nucleotides) under uncultured bacterium. RNAcentral describes it as "partial 16S ribosomal RNA". It matches the Rfam family "Bacterial small subunit ribosomal RNA", at positions 524 to 734 of the family's 1533-position model. The record is from RNAcentral.